RNAcentral lists this ribosomal RNA (460 nucleotides) under uncultured bacterium. RNAcentral describes it as "partial 16S ribosomal RNA". It matches the Rfam family "Bacterial small subunit ribosomal RNA", at positions 338 to 795 of the family's 1533-position model. The record is from RNAcentral.
CCUACGGGUGGCAGCAGUGAGGAAUAUUGGUCAAUGGACGAGAGUCUGAACCAGCCAAGUAGCGUGAAGGAUGACUGCCCUAUGGGUUGUAAACUUCUUUUGUAUGGGAGUAAAAUGUUCCACGUGUGGGGUUUUGUAUGUACCAUAUGAAUAAGCAUCGGCUAACUCCGUGCCAGCAGCCGCGGUAAUACGGAGGAUCCGAGCGUUAUCCGGGUUUAUUGGGUUUAAAGGGAGCGUAGGUGGAUAGUUAAGUCAGUUGUGAAAGUUUGCGGCUCAACCGUAUAAGUGCAGUUGAAACUGGCAGUCUUGAGUGAAGGAGAGGUGGGCGGAAUGCGUGGUGGAGCGGUGAAAUGCUUAGAUAUCACGAAGAACUCCGAUUGCGAAGGCAGGUCACUGGAGUUCAACUGACGCUGAGGCACGAAAGUGUGGGUAUCGAACAGGAUUAGAUACCCUUGUAGUC